This 534-nucleotide long non-coding RNA is filed under the name Vulpes vulpes (red fox). RNAcentral's name for it is "lncRNA (ENSVVUG00000024106.1)". The record is from RNAcentral. Lineage: Eukaryota; Metazoa; Chordata; Mammalia; Carnivora; Canidae.
CCUGGCCCUCCCGACAGCACCAGAAACGCCGCUCCGUUUACCCACAUUGCCCCUAUUUAAAAACAAAACAAAAAGCCCCACUCCACCAUCAGCCCUUCAGCAUCCAAGACACCAGGGAAGGACAGACAGUGGUGGGAGGACGCUCCAUAUGCCAGCGGUGUGAGCACUUCACAUAUUGCCCUUCGUUUUACUGAAGAUGAAGAGGGGCAGAAACUCCAAGCACACAAAAUGGAACUAGAAACGGACCCCACCUUGAAGACAUGUACAACCAGGUGCCAGACCCCACCGAGAAGAGAGACACCGAGAUGAGCCAUGGUACACUAGUGAGCAUGCAGGAGAAGUACAUGCUGCAAAACUGCUUGGAGGAGAUGAGAGGAGAACCCUGUCAUGCCUUGUACACAAUCACCAAAGCAGUAACUGGCUGAAGGCAAGGAGGAAGUCAGGGGAAAGAACCAGAAGAAGUGCUAUUUAUUUCACUUUCACUUUGAGCAUACCACAACUGGGAAGAACACACCCUGGCCCAGGAGAGAAGAG